Molecule: non-coding RNA, 73 nt
Filed under: Bifidobacterium asteroides
Lineage: Bacteria; Bacillati; Actinomycetota; Actinomycetes; Bifidobacteriales; Bifidobacteriaceae
Description: Fluoride sequence
Rfam family: Fluoride riboswitch aptamer (crcB RNA motif)
Source: RNAcentral
UGAGCCUCGGGCGAUGGAACCCGCCCGGGGCUUGAGCCCCGAACCGCAAACCGCUGACAGUUCCUGCACCAUG